UGCGGUGUAGGGAAGUGGUCAAUCCCGCUGGGCUCAUAUCCCGGAGAUCAUCGGUUCGAAUCCGGUCGCCGUUA
RNAcentral lists this transfer RNA (74 nucleotides) under Phycisphaeraceae bacterium. RNAcentral describes it as "tRNA-Met". It matches the Rfam family "tRNA". Rfam says of the family: Transfer RNA (tRNA) molecules are approximately 80 nucleotides in length. Their secondary structure includes four short double-helical elements and three loops (D, anti-codon, and T loops). The record is from RNAcentral. Lineage: Bacteria; Pseudomonadati; Planctomycetota; Phycisphaerae; Phycisphaerales; Phycisphaeraceae.